UCGUCCAGUGUGAAAAACUCCGGUGGUAUAGGAUGGCCCCGCGUCUGAUUAGCUUGUUGGUGAGGUAACGGCCCACCAAGGCGACGAUCAGUAGCCGGCCUGAGAGGGUGAGCGGCCACAUUGGGACUGAGACACGGCCCAAACUCCUACGGGAGGCAGCAGUGGGGAAUAUUGCACAAUGGGGGAAACCCUGAUGCAGCGACGCCGCGUGGGUGAAGAAGUAUUUCGGUAUGUAAAGCCCUAUCAGCGGGGAAGAAGAUGACAGUACCCGACUAAGAAGCCCCGGCUAACUAC
Molecule: ribosomal RNA, 294 nt
Filed under: uncultured bacterium
Lineage: Bacteria
Description: partial 16S ribosomal RNA
Rfam family: Bacterial small subunit ribosomal RNA
Source: RNAcentral